GAUGAACGCUGGCGGCGUGCUUAACACAUGCAAGUCGAGCGAAGCACUCGGCCUUGAAUCUUCGGAGGAAAGGCGGUUUGACUGAGCGGCGGACGGGUGAGUAACGCGUGGGCAACCUGCCCCAUACGGGGGGAUAACAGUUAGAAAUGACUGCUAAUACCGCAUAAGACCGCGGUGCCGCAUGGCACAGCGGUAAAAACUCCGGUGGUAUGGGAUGGGCCCGCGUCUGAUUAGCUAGUUGGCGGGGUAACGGCCCACCAAGGCGACGAUCAGUAGCCGACCUGAGAGGGCGACCGGCCACAUUGGGACUGAGACACGGCCCAA
Molecule: ribosomal RNA, 324 nt
Filed under: uncultured bacterium
Lineage: Bacteria
Description: bacterial SSU rRNA
Rfam family: Bacterial small subunit ribosomal RNA
Source: RNAcentral